RNAcentral lists this long non-coding RNA (2046 nucleotides) under Manduca sexta (tobacco hornworm). RNAcentral describes it as "uncharacterized LOC119190861". The record is from RNAcentral. Lineage: Eukaryota; Metazoa; Arthropoda; Insecta; Lepidoptera; Sphingidae.
UUAAAAUGAUUGUUAGCCACACUAGAUGGGAAGUUCGGAUGCUGCGUCGGUCUCUCGCUCCGAGGCCAGCGCGUGUAGCGGACGUGUCGCAGGAUGUAACCCGUGAAGGUCUACACGGAGGCGCCGGACCACUGGGGCGUGAUCCUCAGCCGCAGGUGCAGACCAUCUAGAAAACGCUGUCCGUGUUUAAGAAUGGUGCCAAUGGGGGCUUCCGACUUCCGAUUACACCUAGGAAGGCGGAGAGCAAUAAGAGCAGACACGUCGCGCUGCAGCCAAACCAUGCUCCGUUAACGCAACGUGGCCGGAGCAUGGACUUGGUCGCGUGGAUCAGGGGUGCCUCGCUUCAACACGACCACUACAUGCGGAGCCAAAAAAACCCUACUUAUAUUUGGUUGCUAAUCCUAUUUAUUUCAUCGUGUAUUUGGCACAGGAAUGACGCACAGACAGACCACAGAAAAUGGUGGCCAUCGAGAGGCGGCGGCCUCUGGGUGGUUGCCGUGAAUAUGUGGGCCUGUUUAGGGGGGUAACGCGGUAUGUGGUGUCCUAGGCUAGAUGACACUAUGAUACCACAGGCUGUCGUGGCAUUGUCAUAUGGGGGAGGAUAGGAUAAACAGACAUUCAGUAUUAUUGUCAUUUGUAUAACAAGAGCCUGCUUUAUACAAGAAACAAUAGUGUAGUAUGAUCUGUUUUGCGAUGUUCUAGAGGUUUGAUGUAUUUAUUUGUAAUAAUUUUUGGCCGGUAUGAUGUACUUUUGCUAGUUUUAUUUACACCUACUGGACUGAGUGAGUACCCAGCUUUAUUGAUUUUAUUUGGGAAAUCUCGUAUCGGGCGGAGCUUUUCAUUUUAGAUCGAGAGCUGAUGGACAUUUUGGGUACAAUGUCUGAGGCAGCGUAGAACAUUGUUAAAAUAUUUUUCUAGUUAAACCUAAGGUCUUAAGCGACCAUUAAAUUAAAAACAACUAUUUUUUUUCAAGAAUGAUCUCGAAGCAUUUUGAACGUUUUAAUAGUUAUCUUAGAAUUUAGUAUUUAGAGGCGAAAACAAACGCCAGAUCAUUUAACAGCAUCUCAGACAUUGCCAGAUAUUUGCAAAGACAUAUCGUUUAAAUAUUGAAGAUCCCCUUUUUUUAGUUUGUCACAUGUCAUCGCUUCCCAGACAUAUGGCGGACUAAAAAAAGGGCUUUUUUCUUCGAUUUUUUAAAAUAUAUCUUUGCAAACAUCUGACACAGUUUCGGACUCCGGUUAAAUGGUCUGGCGCUUUUAUUUUUAAUACUUUAAAUACUAAAUUCUAUGAUAUUAAAAUUUUAAAAUACUUCAUAAACAUUUUAGCAAAAAACAAAGCUUAUUUUAAAUUAAUGAGUCUCCUAAGGCCUGCUACCUUACGUCAGGUCGCAUUUCCCUGACUCUCUGCAAUAUGGUAUUCAGGUUUAACUAGAAACUAUUUAACAAUGUUCUACGUUGCUUCAAACAACUUCCCCAGAAUGUCAAUCAGCUCUCAGACUAUGUAUUUUGUAUUCAGUUUUCGUGGAUGUAUUAAAUGUAUUUAAUUUUAAUGGUGUAAAUUUUUGAUUUAUUGUUGUAUUCUGUAUGAUUGUAUUUAGUUUUAAAGAUGUUUUAUUUUAUGGGGGCCCUGUAUUUAGUAAUUUAUAUCGAUUUAUUGUGAAUUAUAUUUCUGAUUUUCACGGAGAAGUCGGACCCUCUGUGAAGAUCAUUAAUUAAUUUUAUAAUUACGAUAUACUUACUUUUUCACUAUUAAUUUUCAGUAUGUGUCAUGUAUAAGUUGUGUUCAGUUUUUAUCAAUGUGUUGAUUUUGUUUAAUGUGAAUAUUAAUUUCUAUCAUUUUAUUCGCGUAAAUCUGUAUUUAGUUCAAUGGUUGUAUUCAUUUCUUGUUGUAAUUAUUAAUUUCAGCGUCCACGUAUUGUGUACAUAUAAUUUGUAUUUAGUUUCGUGUUAGAUGUAUUAAUUUUAUCCCUUACAUUAUCUGGUGAACAGUUCUUCUAAAAAUGUGCUACAUGUUGAACUGAACGUAAUUACAUCGGUAUCACCCAAA